This 114-nucleotide microRNA precursor is filed under the name Glycine max (soybean). RNAcentral describes it as "miR399h stem-loop (gma-MIR399h)". Its record names the gene gma-MIR399h. The record is from miRBase by way of RNAcentral. Lineage: Eukaryota; Viridiplantae; Streptophyta; Magnoliopsida; Fabales; Fabaceae.
CAAAUCAGCAAUAGGGCACCUCUCUCCUGGCAGGAGAAAAAGAUCAGCAUUUUUGGAGUUACCAAAAGUCAGUGUCAAUAACUUGCCAAAGGAGAGUUGCCCUGUGGCUGGUUU